UACGGAGGGAGCAAGCGUUGUUCGGAUUUACUGGGCGUAAAGGGCGCGUAGGCGGCGCAACAAGUCACUUGUGAAAUCUCCGGGCUUAACCCGGAGCGGCCAAGUGAUACUGUCGUGCUAGAGUGCGGAAGGGGCUACUGGAAUUCUCGGUGUAGCGGUGAAAUGCGUAGAUAUUGGGAAGAGCACCAGUGGCGAAAGCGGACUUCUGGGUUGUUACUGACGCUGAGGUACGAAAGCGUGGGGAGCAAACGGG
RNAcentral lists this ribosomal RNA (253 nucleotides) under uncultured prokaryote. Its description in RNAcentral is "partial 16S ribosomal RNA". It matches the Rfam family "Bacterial small subunit ribosomal RNA", at positions 524 to 776 of the family's 1533-position model. The record is from RNAcentral.